CGAUACUUGGUGUGAAUUGCAGAAUUCAGUGAAUCAUCGAAUCUUUGAACGCACCUUGCGCCCUUUGGUAUUCCGAGGGGCAUGCCUGUUUGAGUGUCAUUAGAUACCAUCAACCCUCUUUUGACUUCGGUCUCGAGAGUGGCUUGGAAGUGGAGGUCUGCUGGAGCCUAACGGAGCCAGCUCCUCUUAAAUGUAUUAGCGGAUUUCCCUUGCGGGAUCGCGUCUCCGAUGUGAUAAUUUCUACGUCGUUGACCAUCUCGGGGCUGACCUAGUCAGUUUCAAUAGGAGUCUGCUUCCAACCGUCUCUUGACCGAGACUAGCGACUUGUGCGCUAACUUUUGACUUGACCUCAAAUCAGGUAGGACUACCCGCUGAACUUAAGCAUAUC
This 388-nucleotide ribosomal RNA is filed under the name Schizophyllum sp. BAB-3921. Its description in RNAcentral is "eukaryotic LSU rRNA". The stretch from base 1 to 99 matches the Rfam family "5.8S ribosomal RNA", at positions 56 to 154 of the family's 154-position model. The record is from RNAcentral. Lineage: Eukaryota; Fungi; Basidiomycota; Agaricomycetes; Agaricales; Schizophyllaceae.